This 82-nucleotide transfer RNA is filed under the name Achromobacter pulmonis. RNAcentral describes it as "tRNA-Sec". Lineage: Bacteria; Pseudomonadati; Pseudomonadota; Betaproteobacteria; Burkholderiales; Alcaligenaceae. The record is from RNAcentral.
UUCGCGGUGGGCGACGUGCACGGCUGUUUCAGCCGGCUGCGCGACAGCCUGGCGCGGAUGGGGUUCGACGCCAGCCGCGACC